CCUACGGGAGGCAGCAGUCGAGAAUCAUUCACAAUGGGGGAAACCCUGAUGGUGCGACGCCGCGUGGGGGAAUGAAGGUCUUCGGAUUGUAAACCCCUGUCAUGUGGGAGCAAAUUAAAAAGAUAGUACCACAAGAGGAAGAGACGGCUAACUCUGUGCCAGCAGCCGCGGUAAUACAGAGGUCUCAAGCGUUGUUCGGAAUCACUGGGCGUAAAGCGUGCGUAGGCUGUUUCGUAAGUCGUGUGUGAAAGGCGCGGGCUCAACCCGCGGACGGCACAUGAUACUGCGAGACUAGAGUAAUGGAGGGGGAACCGGAAUGCUCGGUGUAGCAGUGAAAUGCGGAGAUAUCGAGAGGAACACUCGGGGCGAAGGCGGGUUCCUGGACAUUAACUGACGCUGAGGCACGAAGGCCAGGGGAGCGAAAGGGAUUAGAUACCCUAGUAGUC
RNAcentral lists this ribosomal RNA (446 nucleotides) under uncultured bacterium. Its description in RNAcentral is "partial 16S ribosomal RNA". It matches the Rfam family "Bacterial small subunit ribosomal RNA", at positions 338 to 795 of the family's 1533-position model. The record is from RNAcentral.